UGAGGAAUAUUGGUCAAUGGUCGCAAGACUGAACCAGCCAUGCCGCGUGCAGGAAGACGGUCCUAUGGAUUGUAAACUGCUUUUAUACAGGAAGAAACCCUCCCACGUGUGGGAGCUUGACGGUACUGUAGGAAUAAGGAUCGGCUAACUCCGUGCCAGCAGCCGCGGUAAUACGGAGGAUCCAAGCGUUAUCCGGAAUCAUUGGGUUUAAAGGGGUCCGUAGGCGGUCUUAUAAGUCAGUGGUGAAAGCCCAUCGCUCAACGAUGGAACUGCCAUUGAUACUGUAAGACUUGAAUGCUUAGGAAGUAACUAGAAUAUGUAGUGUAGCGGUGAAAUGCUUAGAUAUUACAUGGAAUACCAAUUGCGAAGGCAGGUUACUACUAAGUGAUUGACGCUGAUGGACGAAAGCGUGGGGAGCGAACAGGAUUAGAUACCCUGGUAGUCCACGCCGUAAACGAUGGAUACUAGCUGUUCGGCGCAAGUUGAGUGGCUAAGCGAAAGUGAUAAGUAUCCCACCUGGGGAGUACGCACGCAAGUGUGAAACUCAAAUGAAUUGACGGGGUCAUAGCUGUUUCCUG
Molecule: ribosomal RNA, 578 nt
Filed under: uncultured bacterium
Lineage: Bacteria
Description: partial 16S ribosomal RNA
Rfam family: Bacterial small subunit ribosomal RNA
Source: RNAcentral